UUCUCCUUCGAUCUUUUUUCCUCCAAACAUUUUCUUUUCGUAAAAAGCUAAUGCCUACUUCAUUUUCUGCCGUUGCUUACUACGGAAUUGAGAGAUUUCGAGAGAGAAAUCAGUAAAGCACCGAUGGUAAUAGAGAUCUAAUGAUCGUUUUAGACUGAAUUUGAACCAGAUCAAGAAGAAAAUGAUGUCUCUAUGGUUCUGAUAUGGAUUAUGUUGAUUAAUGGGUUUGACUCAGAUUCGUUGAGUGGAAGAAAGAGAUUUCCGAUUCAAAUUUGAACCACCAGCAACACCAUCACCAUCAGUAACACAACCAAUUUCAUUCCCACCAAAAGAACCUAAUCUUUAAGUCGAAUCCGCUUUCCCUUUUCCGUCCGAACCCUAAUUUGUUGAUCCUGGGGAGAGCGUAACAAACAACACUAAGGAACGUGAACAUUUGCACCUCUUGAACACGUGACCACUAGUACCAAGUUGCGGAGACACAUUACUAUUCAAACACUGAAUAGAGAAAGAGUUUGACUGCUAGUGUGGUUGUUGUUUAGGUUACAACAUAAAUUAACUAGAUACCAUUCAAUUUCAGUCGAGAUUUUAUAGGGUUCGUUUUUGUUCUUGAAUAAAUAUUUCAGGGUUAGAUUUUCCUCAUUGAUUGUUAAAGACGAUAUGCGUGAGAUUUUGGGUAAAGGAACAGAGGGGAGUCCCACCGUGGCAGUGGUCAUCUCGUAUUUCAAUUAGUUUAACAAAUUAACAAAUUUUGGAAAGAACUUUGUUCUCAAGAUUUAUGAGAAGGUUGAAGAAUUAAUCUAUGAUGAUUUGGAGGGUAAAACAAUCUGGGCAUGGCGUUCGCCUUCAGAUGUCAUCAUGAAAUGCUUCAAAGUGUAGGAUGAGAAGUCCUCGACUUCGAGAGCUAGCUCGACUUCGAGAGCUAGCUGAGAAUGAGAAAGAUGAACAAAGAAAGGCGUGUAAUGAAAGGUGACUGGGGUUUCCUGUCAAUUUGGUUCGUUUCGAAUUUGAAAUGGGAAAUGGUGAUACUGCGAAUGGAUCCUUGUGGUGAUUUAUGUCAGGGAAAGAAUUAAGAGUAGUGUUGUUGUUGUUGUAAACAGAAGUGAGGCUGGAGUUUGAGGUGUUGCAGGUGGUGGUUUGUUGCUCAAGAUGGAUUAGAAGCUUGGGUAUGAAUGGUUGCAGGUACUGGAAUUAACUGGCCUGAGCUGGUGUUACUGGUGUUGCAGAUAGUGGAAUUGAUGCCGCUGAAUUGUGUGGAAAGAUGGAGUUGAUGUCAUGUGCAAUACAGGGAGGACUGGGAAGUUGAGAGCGGAGAUGCUAUGAAGCUACGGAUAUUUGAUGCUGGUAUUUAGAUGUAUGCAAGAAUGCAUGUGCAGAAACUGAUGUUGGUGGUGAACUUAGAUGUAUGAUUAGGUUUCAGAUAUAAAGUUCAGGUGCAAGACAGAUGGAAUUGAAGCAGGAAAUGGAUGCAGCGAUGCAACUGUUGAGUUAGAGUUACAGUAAGAGCUGGUGAGGACAAUUGCAGUUGAAGCUACAAGAUGGCAGUAGUGAUCUGGUACAGUUCUGAUAAUACUACAAUAUAGAGUUGAGUUGGUAGAAGCAACUGAAAGAAGAGUUGAGAAGAAUUAACAGUGAAAUGGGCAUGGUGUCGCUGUUGCAGACAAUAAGGAGAAGUGGAUUGAUAUUGUAGCUGAAGUGCAGGCUAUGGAUUGAGGUGGUACUGAGAUGAAGAUGUUGUUGUUGCAGGAUGAACAACCACUAUGGCUGGAAGUGAAGUAGUGAUGCACCAUGAUGGUGCAACACGGACUUUGGCCCUUGCAAAUUGGCAGUUGGCCUGGCAAUUCUCUCCACCCAGAUGAGUCAGUUAGCUGACUCUAGUUAGCAUUAGCUGACUCAAUUCCCUGACUCACCCGAUGAUGUCACUGAGUUGAUUCAUCUUGACUCGGUUUAACUUUGAUCGAGAUGACUCGAUUGACCGGUGCGGCGGUGACUGUUUAACUUGCCGGUCAUCUGAGUUAUUUUCUGAUACCUCUUCCGGCAAGGUUCUGGUGACUGAAGAAUCUCUAAAAAAUUGAAUAGAUUUUUUUUUUCACAUUGUCAACUUAAUACAAUUUUGUUUUACAAAUUAGAAUUAUGAUAAAAUUUGUCUGAACAUCUCU
Papaver somniferum (opium poppy) is the source of this 2156-nucleotide long non-coding RNA. RefSeq lists it as uncharacterized. The record is from RefSeq and is a predicted model, not a curated record. NCBI's taxonomy places the organism in Eukaryota, Viridiplantae, Streptophyta, Magnoliopsida, Ranunculales, Papaveraceae. The transcript has 5 exons.